This 2145-nucleotide long non-coding RNA is filed under the name Oncorhynchus kisutch (coho salmon). RNAcentral's name for it is "lncRNA (ENSOKIG00005025585.1)". The record is from RNAcentral. Lineage: Eukaryota; Metazoa; Chordata; Actinopteri; Salmoniformes; Salmonidae.
AUGCAUUGUAUUGAUAUUAGCUCUCUGGAUAGAGUGAAGAGCUACUCUACAACAUAUCACUACAUACACAACAUAUCACAACAUACACAACAUAUCACUACAUACACAACAUAUCACUACAUACACAACAUAUCACUACAUACCCAACAUAUCACUACAUACACAACAUAUCACUACAUACACAACAUAUCCACAUAUCACUACAUACACAACAUAUCCCUACAUACCCAACAUAUCACUACAUACACAACAUAUCACUACAUACACAACAUAUCCCUGCAUACCCAACAUAUCACUACAUACACAACAUAUCACUACAUACACAACAUAUCACUACAUACACAACAUAUCACUACAUACACAACAUAUCACUACAUACACAACAUAUCGCUACAUACACAACAUAUCACUACAUACACAACAUAUCCACAUAUCACUACAUACACAACAUAUCCACAUAUCACUACAUACACAACAUAUCCACAUAUCACUACAUACACAACAUAUCACUACAUACACAGCAUAUCCACAUAUCACUACAUACACAACAUAUCUACAUAUCACUACAUACACAACAUAUCCACAUAUCACUACAUACACAACAUAUCCACAUAUCACUACAUACACAACAUAUCACUACAUACACAACAUAUCACUACAUACACAACAUAUUCACAUAUCACUACAUACACAACAUACACAACAUAUCCACAUAUCACUACAUACACAACAUAUCAACAUAUCACUACAUACACAACAUACACAACAUAUCCACAUAUCACUACAUACACAACAUAUCAACACAUCACUACAUACACAACAUAUCUACAUAUCACUACAUACACAACAUAUCAACACAUCACUACAUACACAACAUAUCUACAUAUCACUACAUACACAACACAUCACUACAUACACAACAUAUCCACAUAUCACUACAUACACAACAUAUCCACAUAUCACUACAUACACAACACAUCACUACAUACACAACAUAUCCACAUACCACUACAUACACAACAUAUCUACAUAUCACUACAUACACAACAUAUCCACAUAUCACUACAUACACAACGUAUCCACAUAUCACUACAUACACAACAUAUCAACAUAUCACUACAUACACAACACAUCACUACAUACACAACAUAUCACUACAUACACAACAUAUCCACAUAUCACUACAUACACAACAUAUCUACAUAUCACUACAUACACAACGUAUCCACAUAUCACUACAUACACAACAUAUCACUACAUACACAACAUAUCCACAUAUCACUACAUACACAACAUAUCACUACAUACACAACAUAUCACUACAUACACAACAUAUCACUACAUACACACCAUAUCACUACAUACACAACAUAUCACUACAUACACAACAUAUCUACAUAUCACUACAUACACAACGUAUCUACAUAUCACUACAUACACAACAUAUCCACAUAUCACUACAUACACAACAUAUCACUACAUACACAACAUAUCCACAUAUCACUACAUACACAACAUAUCUACAUAUCACUACAUACACAACAUAUCACUACAUACACAACAUAUCCACAUAUCACUACAUACACAACAUAUCCACAUAUCACUACAUACACAACAUAUCCACAUAGCACUACAUACACAACAUAUCCACAUAUCACUAAAUACACAACAUAUCCACAUAUCACUACAUACACAACAUAUCUACAUAUCACUACAUACACAACAUAUCACCACAUACACAACAUAUCUACAUAUCACUACAUACACAACAUAUCACUACAUACACAACAUAUCACUACAUACACAACAUAUCACUACAUACACAACAUAUCACUACAUACACAACAUAUCACUACAUACACAACAUAUCACUACAUACACAACAUAUCCACAUAUCACUACAUACACAACAUAUCCACAUAUCACUACAUACACAACAUAUCCACAUAUCACUACAUACACAACAUAUCCACAUAUCACUACAUACACAACAUAUCCACAUAUCACUACAUACACAACAUAUCCACAUAUCACUACAUACACAACAUAUCCACAUAUCACUACAUACACAACAUAUCUAGGUCAAAUGGGGGAGCGGCGUUGUGUCGUGACGUGUUGAUUUAUCUGGGGGGGGGGGGGGUUUAA